Molecule: unclassified non-coding RNA, 258 nt
Filed under: uncultured fungus
Lineage: Eukaryota; Fungi
Description: partial contains 5.8S ribosomal RNA, internal transcribed spacer 2, and large subunit ribosomal RNA
Source: RNAcentral
AACGCACAUUGCGCCCAUUAGUAUUCUAUUGGGCAUGCCUGUUCGAGCGUCAUUUCAACCCUUAAGCCCCAGUUGCUUAGCGUUGGGAGCCUACGGAGACGUAGCUCCUCAAAGUCAGUGGCGGAGUCGGCUCAGCACUCUAGACGUAGUAGAAUCUUUUUAUCUCGCCUGUAGUGUGUGCCGGUCCCCUGCCGUAAAACCCCCCCCAAUUUAUCAAAGGUUGACCUCGGAUCAGGUAGGAAUACCCGCUGAACUUAA